UACGUAGGGUGCAAGCGUUAAUCGGAAUUACUGGGCGUAAAGCGUGCGCAGGCGGUUGUGCAAGACAGAUGUGAAAUCCCCGGGCUAACCUGGGAACUGCAUUUGUGACUGCAUGGCUGGAGUGCGGCAGAGGGGGAUGGAAUUCCGCGUGUAGCAGUGAAAUGCGUAGAUAUGCGGAGGAACACCGAUGGCGGAAGGCAUCCCCUGGGCCUGCACUGACGCUCAUGCACGAAAGGCGUGGGGAGCAGACAGG
This 253-nucleotide ribosomal RNA is filed under the name uncultured bacterium. RNAcentral's name for it is "partial 16S ribosomal RNA". It matches the Rfam family "Bacterial small subunit ribosomal RNA", at positions 524 to 776 of the family's 1533-position model. The record is from RNAcentral.